GAUGAACGCUGGCGGCGUGCUUAACACAUGCAAGUCGAACGGGGUACCCUUGAAGGAGGCUUCGGCCAACGGAAAGGAAUACCUAGUGGCGGACGGGUGAGUAACGCGUGAGGAACCUGCCUUGGAGUGGGGAAUAACAGCUAGAAAUAGCUGCUAAUACCGCAUAAUGCAACUAAGUCGCAUGGCUUUGGUUGCCAAAGAUUUAUCGCUCUGAGAUGGCCUCGCGUCUGAUUAGAUAGUUGGCGGGGUAACGGCCCACCAAGUCGACGAUCAGUAGCCGGACUGAGAGGUUGGCCGGCCACAUUGGGACUGAGACACGGCCCAG
This 325-nucleotide ribosomal RNA is filed under the name uncultured bacterium. Its description in RNAcentral is "bacterial SSU rRNA". It matches the Rfam family "Bacterial small subunit ribosomal RNA", at positions 28 to 334 of the family's 1533-position model. The record is from RNAcentral.